AGAGUUUGAUCCUGGCUCAGAACGUACGCUGGCGGCACGCCUAACACAUGCAAGUCGAACGAAGUAGCAAUACUUAGUGGCAGACGGGUGAGUAACAUGUAGGUAUCUGCCCUUUGGCCUGGAAUAACACGAGGAAACUUGUGCUAAUACCGGAUAAGUCUUUACGGAGAAAGCUUUAUGCACCAUUGGAUGAGCCUGCACUUGAUUAGUUUGUUGGUGGGGUAAUGGCCUACCAAGACUGUGAUCAAUAGCUGAUUUGAGAGGAUGAUCAGCCACAUUGGGACUGAGACACGGCCCAAACUCCUACGGGAGGCAGCAGUGGGGAAUCUUGCACAAUGGAGGAAACUCUGAUGCAGCGAUGCCGCGUGAGUGAAGAAGGCCCUUGGGUUGUAAAGCUCUUUCGUCGGGGAAGAAAAUGACUGUACCCGAAUAAGAAGGUCCGGCUAACUUCGUGCCAGCAGCCGCGGUAAUACGAAGGGACCUAGCGUAGUUCGGAAUUACUGGGCUUAAAGAGUUCGUAGGUGGUUGAAAAAGUUGGUGGUGAAAUCCCAGAGCUUAACUCUGGAACUGCCAUCAAAACUUUUCAGCUAGAGUAUGAUAGAGGAAAGCAGAAUUUCUAGUGUAGAGGUGAAAUUCGUAGAUAUUAGAAAGAAUACCGAUUGCGAAGGCAGCUUUCUGGAUCAUUACUGACACUGAGGAACGAAAGCAUGGGUAGCGAAGAGGAUUAGAUACCCUCGUAGUCCAUGCCGUAAACGAUGUGUGUUAGACGUUGGAAAUUUAUUUUCAGUGUCGCAGCGAAAGCGAUAAACACACCGCCUGGGGAGUACGACCGCAAGGUUAAAACUCAAAUGAAUUGACGGGGACCCGCACAAGUAGUGGAGCAUGUGGUUUAAUUCGAAGAUACGCGCAGAACCUUACCAACACUUGACAUGUUCGUCGCGACUUUAAGAGAUUAAAGUUUUCGGUUCGGCCGGACGAAACACAGGUGCUGCAUGGCUGUCGUCAGCUCGUGUCGUGAGAUGUUGGGUUAAGUCCCGCAACGAGCGCAACCCUCACUUUUAGUUGCCAUCAUUUAGUUGGGCACUCUGAAAGAACUGCCAGUGAUAAGCUGGAGGAAGGUGGGGAUGACGUCAAGUCCUCAUGGCCCUUACGUGUUGGGCUACACACGUGCUACAAUGGUACUUACAACAGGAAGCAAAACGGCGACGUUAAGCAAAUCCUUAAAAAGUACCUCAGUUCGGAUUGCACUCUGCAACUCGAGUGCAUGAAGCUGGAAUUACUAGUAAUCGUGGAUCAGCGUGCCACGGUGAAUGCGUUCCCGGGUCUUGUACACACCGCCCGUCACACCAUGGGAGUUGGUUCUACCUUAAGGCAAGGUUUCAAACCCUUGACCACGGUAUAGUCAGCGACUGGGGUGAAGUCGUAACAAGGUA
RNAcentral lists this ribosomal RNA (1433 nucleotides) under uncultured bacterium. Its description in RNAcentral is "bacterial SSU rRNA". It matches the Rfam family "Bacterial small subunit ribosomal RNA". The record is from RNAcentral.